CCUACGGGCGGCAGCAGUGAGGAAUAUUGGGCAAUGGGCGCUAGCCUGAACCAGCCAAGCCGCGUGAAGGAUGACUGCCCUCUGGGUGGUAAACUCCUUUUACAUGGGAGUAAAGUGCAGUAUGUAUACUGCUUUGCAUGUACCUUACGAAUAAGGAUCGGCUAAGUCAGUGCCAGCAGCCCCGGUAAUACGGAGGGUCCGAGCGUUAUCCGGAUUUAUUGGGUUUAAAGGGAGCGUAGGCGGGUUGUUAAGUCAGUUGUGAAAGUUUGGGGCUCAACGGUAGAAUUGCAUUUGAUACUGGCAACCUUGAGUACAGGAGAGGUAGGCGGAAUUCGUGGUGUAGCGGUGAAAUGCGUAGAUAUCAGGAGGAACACCAGUGGCGAAGGCGGCCUGCUGGACUGUAACUGACGCUGAGGCGCGAAAGCGUGGGUAGCAAACAGGAUUAGAUACCCCUGUAGUC
This 460-nucleotide ribosomal RNA is filed under the name uncultured bacterium. RNAcentral describes it as "partial 16S ribosomal RNA". It matches the Rfam family "Bacterial small subunit ribosomal RNA", at positions 338 to 795 of the family's 1533-position model. The record is from RNAcentral.